GGAGAUGAAGACAAGGAGAUGGAGAAGCCCCAAGGCUCAAGUGGAACGGAGGCGGGAGGCGCGAUGUAGGUCUCGAGGGUAGAGCUCACCUUUGACCUCUUUUUCUGGGAGUGCUUCCGUAUGGAAAGCUAUGACAUUCGUGCCUCUCAAAAAGCCAGGCACACGAGAGGGGGAGAAGAUAACAUUGUCACCUGCUUUACUCUCUGAAGAGGCACAGAAGCCAGAGACGUACUGGACAUCCCGGUGGGACAUGGACCUGUCACGGCAGAUCUUCCUGUAGGUUCACCAGCUCCUGCUGGGAAACGUCUGUUAAAUGACUGGGACCAGGACAAGUGGCAGCUGGGCUCUGAGUGGCACACAUUUCAGGUAUACCUGCUUCAAGGUGACUGCUGAGG
Molecule: long non-coding RNA, 395 nt
Organism: Rattus rattus (black rat)
Lineage: Eukaryota; Metazoa; Chordata; Mammalia; Rodentia; Muridae
Exons: 3
Source: RefSeq, a predicted model, not a curated record